CGGUUUUGUAAAUGAGCUAUGGGUAUUUCCCAUCAUAUGAUGUCACUUCGUUGCCAAAUUUAUAAUCGCAGUACCUAAUCAAAAGUUGGACGAUGUUGUCGAUGUUAGUGUUUCGUGGUGAAAAAAGCUACUUAAUUGUUUCAUGUUUGCAAGCAUCACUUUAUGAGCAGUUGAAAUCCGCAUAAAUUGUCUUUUCACAUCGUGAUGUCCCUUCGUUGGCAAAUUUGUAACCGCAGUACCUAAUCAAAGGUUGGACUAUGUUACUGUUUCGUGGUGAAAGGAGCUACCUAAGUAAUUGUUUCAUGUUUGCAAGCAUCACUUUACGAGUAGUUGAAAUCCGCAUAAGUUGAUGAAAAAUAAAUUUACAUCAUGGAAAAUGAAGAAGUACUGACAUACAUAUUUGGGUUCAUAUGUUCCAUUCUAUCCAUAUUCUCGACAAUAUGCGUCAUCAUUCAUUUGUACAAGUUUUUCAAGAUUACAGGACCACAAAGUCUGUCAACGAAGAACCUUACUUUUUACUGUUUUUCACUGUUGCUCAUCUACAUCCCAACAUAUACAUAUGUGAUUGGAUACGUAAUGUCUUUCCAUUAUAGAACGCAGGACUAUUUGGCGUUCAUUCUUAUAUAUAUGACAGUGACGACGUCGUUUAUUAAAUUCAUUAUUGCAUUGGAUCUAUUCGUGUGUUUUCGCAAAGUUGCCAUCCACCUGAGAAGCCCUUCUUCAUCGGCUGCUCAAAAUAUAAAAUUCCUUGUAUACUGUAUUUUCGGUACGAGUGUUCCCAUACUUUAUGCAUCAAUUUUUACAAUGUUAUUUGGUCAGAGAAAUGAAUAUAUGUACUCAUAUUUCGGGCCAUUUGCGAUAAAGAGGUAUAUUUGCACCGCUCGAUUAUUUUUGAUUAUCGGUGCGUUUUGGUACAUCAGAUUGGCCAGUUUGAAUAAAAAGGAUUUGUGGUCAAAAUAUGGCCUACAUAUCCGUUUGCUUACGAUGCUUGGUGGAUUCUCGGCUGUAAUAAGCAUCGGCGAAAUCAUAUCACUGAUGCGCAGUGGUGACGACGAAAUGUUUUUUCUUGGAUUUUUCUUUUUAUUAAAUUUUUUUGGGUGUACUCUAGAAGGAAUAGUUAUUGGAGUACUAUUCACAUUCAGAAAAUCAACAUUUCAGCCAGCUAUGUCUCCAGUUAGACCCGAUCAACAAACAGUUCCAUAGGUUAACAAAUUUUAGACAAAUGAAAUUUUACUAUGCUUAUAAUAAUUCGAUAAUCAUAAUACGUAUGUACUACCUAUCUGCAUAGGAUGUAAGGUUUACACUAGAUAAGCUCUAAUUAAUAAUCAAUUGUUGAUGUAGUAAGUACAAUGUAAUAAUAUGCAUGUAUGUAGAGCACUUUCAAUUAAAAACUUAAUUUUAAA
Molecule: long non-coding RNA, 1403 nt
Organism: Planococcus citri (citrus mealybug)
Lineage: Eukaryota; Metazoa; Arthropoda; Insecta; Hemiptera; Pseudococcidae
Exons: 3
Source: RefSeq, a predicted model, not a curated record